RNAcentral lists this ribosomal RNA (301 nucleotides) under uncultured bacterium. Its description in RNAcentral is "partial 16S ribosomal RNA". It matches the Rfam family "Bacterial small subunit ribosomal RNA", at positions 509 to 807 of the family's 1533-position model. The record is from RNAcentral.
CAGUAGCCGCGGUAAUACGAAGGGUGCAAGCGUUAAUCGGAAUUACUGGGCGUAAUGCGUGCGUAGGCGGUUUGUUAAGUCUGUUGUGAAAUCCCCGGGCUCAACCUGGGAAUGGCAGUGGAUACUGGCAAGCUAGGGUGUGUCAGAGGAUGGUGGAAUUCCCGGUGUAGCAGUGAAAUGCGUAGAGAUCGGAAGGAACAUCUGUGGCGAAGGCGGCCAUCUGGGACAACACUGACGCUGAGGCACGAAAGCGUGGGGAGCAAACAGGAUUAGAUACCCCGGUAGUCCCUGUCUCUUAUAC